RNAcentral lists this ribosomal RNA (372 nucleotides) under Pseudomonas aeruginosa. Its description in RNAcentral is "partial 23S ribosomal RNA". It matches the Rfam family "Bacterial large subunit ribosomal RNA", at positions 2263 to 2634 of the family's 2925-position model. Lineage: Bacteria; Pseudomonadati; Pseudomonadota; Gammaproteobacteria; Pseudomonadales; Pseudomonadaceae. The record is from RNAcentral.
GGGCAGUUUGACUGGGGCGGUCGCCUCCUAAAAGGUAACGGAGGCGCUCAAAGGUUCCCUCAGCACGGUCGGAAAUCGUGCAAAGAGUGUAAAGGCAGAAGGGAGCUUGACUGCGACACCAACAAGUGGAGCAGGGUAGAAAUACGGACUUAGUGAUCCGGUGGUUCCGAGUGGAAGGGCCAUCGCUCAACGGAUAAAAGCUACCCCGGGGAUAACAGGCUUAUCUCCCCCAAGAGUCCACAUCGACGGGGAGGUUUGGCACCUCGAUGUCGGCUCGUCUCAUCCUGGGGCUGGAGUAGGUCCCAAGGGUUGGGCUGUUCGCCCAUUAAAGCGGUACGCGAGCUGGGUUCAGAACGUCGUGAGACAGUUCGG